RNAcentral lists this non-coding RNA (77 nucleotides) under Anaerocolumna jejuensis. RNAcentral describes it as "Fluoride sequence". It matches the Rfam family "Fluoride riboswitch aptamer (crcB RNA motif)". Lineage: Bacteria; Bacillati; Bacillota; Clostridia; Lachnospirales; Lachnospiraceae. RNAcentral also lists the same sequence under 1 other name. The record is from RNAcentral.
UUGCAGAGUGGGAAUGAAGUUCUCCCCUGGUAGACAAUACCUAAACUGCUUAUAAAGCUAAUGACUUCUGUUUAAAU